RNAcentral lists this ribosomal RNA (405 nucleotides) under uncultured Brachybacterium sp. RNAcentral's name for it is "bacterial SSU rRNA". It matches the Rfam family "Bacterial small subunit ribosomal RNA", at positions 354 to 771 of the family's 1533-position model. The record is from RNAcentral. Lineage: Bacteria; Bacillati; Actinomycetota; Actinomycetes; Micrococcales; Dermabacteraceae.
GUGGGGAAUAUUGCACAAUGGGCGAAAGCCUGAUGCAGCGACGCCGCGUGGGGGAUGACGGCCUUCGGGUUGUAAACCCCUUUCAGUAGGGAAGAAGCGAGAGUGACGGUACCUGCAGAAGAAGCGCCGGCUAACUACGUGCCAGCAGCCGCGGUAAUACGUAGGGCGCAAGCGUUGUCCGGAAUUAUUGGGCGUAAAGAGCUUGUAGGUGGCUUGUCGCGUCUGCCGUGAAAACCCGAGGCUCAACCUCGGGCGUGCGGUGGGUACGGGCAGGCUAGAGUGUGGUAGGGGAGACUGGAACUCCUGGUGUAGCGGUGAAAUGCGCAGAUAUCAGGAAGAACACCGAUGGCGAAGGCAGGUCUCUGGGCCAUUACUGACACUGAGAAGCGAAAGCAUGGGUAGCGA